UCCACCACCACCACUGCAAGCCGCUGCUCAAUGGCCUCCAUUUCAUUUUCCGGCGAAUCCCUCAUCUCUCUGCUAACUCUUUUCUCUCUCCUUUUUCUCACCCACGCCACCCUCCAUCUCCACCCCUCCGAUUAUGACGCCCUCCUCCUCAUCCAAAAACACUUGGGCAUCAACGGUCAACGCCGCUCCUCCCCCAACCCAUGCAACACCCCCGGAGUAUUUUGCGAGAGGAGAGUCUCUGACAACGCCACAGUGCUCAGAGUCACCCGUCUGGUUUUCAAAUCCCAACGUCUCUCAGGUUUCCUAUCUCCCCAAAUCGGACGCCUCUCCCAGCUCAAAGAGCUCUC
RNAcentral lists this long non-coding RNA (347 nucleotides) under Vitis vinifera (wine grape). RNAcentral describes it as "long non-coding RNA (VVIN_LNC005783)". The record is from RNAcentral. Lineage: Eukaryota; Viridiplantae; Streptophyta; Magnoliopsida; Vitales; Vitaceae.